AGAGUUUGAUCCUGGCUCAGGAUGAACGCUAGCGAUAGGCUUAACACAUGCAAGCCGAGGGGCAUCACUUUAAGGUGGCGACCGGCGCACGGGUGAGUAACACGUAUGCAACCUGCCCAUUACUUGUGGGAUAGCCCGGAGAAAUUCGGAUUAAUACCCAAUGACACAGGGAUACCACAUGGUAAUAUUUGUUAAAGAUUUAUUGGUAAUGGAUGGGCAUGCGCAGGAUUAKAUAGUUGGUGAAGGUAACGGCUCACCAAGUCAGCGAUCCUUAGGGGAACUGAGAGGUUUAUCCCCCACACUGGUACUGAGACACGGACCAGACUCCUACGGGAGGCAGCAGUGAGGAAUAUUGGUCAAUGGUCGUAAGACUGAACCAGCCAAAUCGCGUGAAGGACGAAGGUAUUAUGUAUUGUAAACUUCUUUUGAGGGGGAAUAAAGUGCAGGACGUGUCCUGUUUUGUAUGUACCUUUCGAAUAAGCAUCGGCUAACUCCGUGCCAGCAGCCGCGGUAAUACGGAGGAUGCGAGCGUUAUCCGGAUUUAUUGGGUUUAAAGGGUGCGUA
RNAcentral lists this ribosomal RNA (564 nucleotides) under uncultured bacterium. Its description in RNAcentral is "bacterial SSU rRNA". It matches the Rfam family "Bacterial small subunit ribosomal RNA", at positions 8 to 573 of the family's 1533-position model. The record is from RNAcentral.